UCAUUUUCAAUUCUCUUUUCAGCAAUAGAGGUCAGUUUGGGCAGGCCGGUGAAGGUAAAUAACUUCCUUACCACUCUCAACAUAACGCUUAUUGCAAAUAGAAAUCUUAAGAAGUGCUGGGGAGGCCAUCAAGAAAAUCUCAACUACGUCGUCUUACAGGGCUGGCAUUGAUGCUUAUGCGAAAGAAAUGAAUUCGAGGUACAGUAAUGCCUGAUAUUACUCAGAUUGCUGCUGUGCAUUUGAAGACGGGUUUUAAGUUCUCGACAUAUGUGAAGACAACAGUGCCAAUUUCUUAUGAAGCUCAGAAAGUGAUUGGCAUCUCUGUUGAUGAUCAUGGCUUAAUGCGUGUAAAUGGUGGAAGUGUUGAUAGUGUAUCAAUUUAAACUUCUCUUACUACAUGAUUGUAUGAUGUGGCUUGCAAAGUUCCCCAUAGCCAUUUUUGUUGCUCAUAAUGGGCGCAGGUUUGAUUUUCCGGUUUUGGUUAGUGUAUUGCUGAACACACACUGUUUUGAAACGUUUUGUAAUUGUGUAAGCAGUUUUGUUGACUCUGCCGGUUUUCAAAAAUCGUUUCCUGGACAGUCACACAAACAGGAAUAUCUAGUGAAGGUGUUCUUCAGGCAACCUGCAACGCCCACAGUGCUCCUGAUGAUGUUGAAGCACUGGGGUCUUUGCUUAAAAAAUUACUGACAAUAUGGCCCACAUCUUUACUGUUACUGCAAUCCAUAAUUCAGUUUAUGUAGUCAUGAAAAGCCUUAAAGGCAAAGAACAUUAGAUUGUUAGACGUGCUGUUGCAUAGAGGAACUCUAAAGCGACCAACAGCUAAAAACAUUGCGGGAUAUGGACUGGCCUUGUGUCAUUUGAAAGCCAUAUUUUCUAGUUCCGGAGAGGACGACUUUAGGGAUACUUUCAUUGCUAAAAACAAUGAGGGACUUCCAAAAGUCACAAACGCAAAAAAAAUAUUUUAUCUGAAGUGGUCCCUAAAAUCGGUCAGUUUUUCAGUGACGAAAAGUGACGGAACGAGAUAAUAUGGCUUUCAAAUGACACGCGGCCAGUCAAAAUCACGCAAUGGCUUUAUACUGAUACUAUAUUAUGUACAUCAAGUUGUCAUUAAUCUGGCAGUUUUUAUUAAAAUAUAAGUUGUAUAUUAUUGUGCUACAUGUUUAAAGAAACCUGAUAACUUAUACAUCUUUAUGCUACGUAAUAUUUUGACAACUUUGACAUUUUGUGGUGAACUGCGCCUGUAUUCAUAUGUUGUCUUUUGACUUUAGGUGACCUAUAGAUUGUAUUUUUAGCUCGGCAGUUUUAGGAGAAAUCUCCGAGGUCAUGUCAUAGCCACUUCGUCGUCCGACGUCGUGCAAAAACUUUUUCAUUGGCUCUAAAAUUAAAGUGCUUCCACAUACAAUUUUGAAACUUUAUAUGUACAUGCACCUUGGUGAGUUCUACACGCCACACCCAUUUUUGGGUCACUAGGUCAAAGGUCAAGGUCACUGUGACCUCUAAUAUAAAACUUUAACUUUGCCUCUAACAUCAUAGUCCUGCCACCUACACCUUUGAAACUUCAUAUGUACAUGCACCUUGAUGAGUUCUACAUGCCACACCCAUUUUUGGGUCACUAGAUCAAAGGUCAAGGUCACUGUGACCUCUAAUAUAAAACUUUAAGUUUGCCUCUAACAUCACAGUGCUUCCACCUACAACUUUGAAACUUCAUAUGUACAUGCACCUUGAUGAGUUUACACGCCACUCCCAUUUUUUGGGUCACUAGGUCAAAGGUCAAGGUCACUGUGACCUCUAAUAUAAAACUUUAAGUUUGCCUCGAACAUCAUAGUGCUUCCACCUACAACUUUGAAACUUCAUAUGUACAUGCACUUGGAUGAGUUCUACACACCACACCCAUUUUUUGGUCACUAGGUCAAAAGUCAAGGUCACUGUGAUCUCUAAUAUAAAACUUUAACUUUGCCUCUAACAUCACAGUACUUCCAUAUACAACUUAGAAACUUCAUAUGUAGAUGCACCUUGAUGAGUUCUACACGCCACACCCAUUUUGGGUCACUAGG
This is a long non-coding RNA of Dreissena polymorpha, 2054 nucleotides long. RefSeq lists it as uncharacterized. The transcript is spliced from 2 exons. NCBI's taxonomy places the organism in Eukaryota, Metazoa, Mollusca, Bivalvia, Myida, Dreissenidae. The record is from RefSeq and is a predicted model, not a curated record.